AAGAACUUAAAAUUUAGUGAGUAGGGAUUGGGAGAGGAUCUGGAAGGACUUGAGGGAGGGAAAACACGAUCCAAAUAUGUUUAAAUUUAAAAUUGUUUUAAAUAAUUAAAAUAGUAAAAAAGAAAAAAAAUAAAGAAAUGUUCUCCACCUAGGGAAGCAUCUUGCCAGAGUUAAAUCUUGACCCUAAGAAGGUGAGGCCAGAAUACUUUCUUGAGGGCACCGAGUGGACCUAUCUGCCAGAAGUCACAAACGGAGAGAUCAAGUGAGGAGAACCACACCGUAGAAGCUCACAAGUCAGACAAAGUGAGCUCACACUACUGGAGCUCUCAGGGGAACAAUUGUUGCAUAAUGAGUCAUAAGUGCCAUUUGACAUAAUUUUUCCUUGUACGAUGCUGGUUAUUGACUGACAAUGUUAUUAUGGUUUGCAUCUUAUAUAUUUCCCAAAAGCUCAGUCACUGAAGGUGUGGCCUCCAGCUGCUGAUGGAGAUAUGAAAGUAUACAUAUGAAUAUGUGGAAACAUUGGAAUUAGGACCCUGUUAGAGGAAGUAAGUCACUGGAGUUGUGAUUCCAGUCUCUUCUUUUCUUUCCUUUUUCCUUCUUGUAUAACAUGGCAUAAACAGUUCAUUUCUCAAUGAAUUGAAACCUUGGAAACCAUAAGCCAAAAUAAACUUUGUUUUUUCUUUUAGGACAUCUUCCAUAUUUUCCAGAGUUAUGACAAACAUAACAUAAGCAUAGUAUAAUUAUCACAAAGAUUACUCCUUCUACAGCUAAAAUUACAGCCAUUAUCACCUACUGCUAAUACUAUUAUAAGGCUAUGGAA
Molecule: long non-coding RNA, 820 nt
Filed under: Mus musculus (house mouse)
Lineage: Eukaryota; Metazoa; Chordata; Mammalia; Rodentia; Muridae
Description: predicted gene 28905
Source: RNAcentral